RNAcentral lists this non-coding RNA (120 nucleotides) under Mycolicibacterium hassiacum. Its description in RNAcentral is "Mycobacterium hassiacum SAM-IV sequence". It matches the Rfam family "SAM (S-adenosyl methionine) riboswitch aptamer". Rfam says of the family: SAM-IV is a mRNA element that regulates gene expression via direct sensing of S-adenosylmethionine (SAM or AdoMet). SAM-IV riboswitches share conserved nucleotide positions with the previously described SAM-I riboswitches sequence analysis and molecular recognition experiments suggest that SAM-I and SAM-IV riboswitches share similar ligand binding sites, but have different scaffolds. The record is from RNAcentral. RNAcentral also lists the same sequence under 1 other name. Lineage: Bacteria; Bacillati; Actinomycetota; Actinomycetes; Mycobacteriales; Mycobacteriaceae.
GGUCAUGAGCGCCAGCGCGAAGCCCCGGCUUGCUGGCCGGCAACCCUCCAACCGCGGUGGGGUGCCCCGGGUGAUGACCAGGUUGAGUAGCCGCUGAACGGCUACCGGCAAGCGCGGGUC